UACGUAGGUGGCAAGCGUUGUCCGGAAUUAUUGGGCGUAAAGCGCACGUAGGCGGUUCGUUAAGUCAAAUGUGAAAGCCCCCGGCUCAACCGGGGAAGUGCAUCUGAAACUGGCGAGCUAGAGUACGAAAGAGGGUCGCGGAAUUCCCGGUGUAGAGGUGAAAUUCGUAGAUAUCGGGAGGAACACCGGUGGCGAGGGCGGCGACCUGGGUCGAUACUGACGCUGAGGUGCGAAAGCGUGGGGAGCAAACAGG
RNAcentral lists this ribosomal RNA (253 nucleotides) under uncultured bacterium. Its description in RNAcentral is "partial 16S ribosomal RNA". It matches the Rfam family "Bacterial small subunit ribosomal RNA", at positions 524 to 776 of the family's 1533-position model. The record is from RNAcentral.